GACGAACGCUGGCGGCGUGCUUAACACAUGCAAGUCGAACGGAAAGGCCCUGCUUGCAGGGUACUCGAGUGGCGAACGGGUGAGUAACACGUGGGUGAUCUGCCCUGCACUUCGGGAUAAGCCUGGGAAACUGGGUCUAAUACCGGAUAGGAGCCAUUUUGAGUGUGAUGGUUGGAAAGUUUUUUCGGUGUAGGAUGAGCUCGCGGCCUAUCAGCUUGUUGGUGGGGUGAUGGCCUACCAAGGCGGCGACGGGUAGCCGGCCUGGGAGGGUGGACGGCCAACCUGGGACCUGGGUUAGGCCCAGGCCCCGAAGGGGGGGAGGCGGGGGGAAUAUUGGACAAGGGGCGCAAGGCCUGUGCAGAGAAGCCGCGGGGGGGAAGACGGCCUUCGGGGUGGAAAAUCCCUUUGCUAGGGGAGAAGGUUUUUGUGACGGUACCUAGAUAAGAAGCACCGGCUAACUACGUG
Molecule: ribosomal RNA, 465 nt
Filed under: uncultured bacterium
Lineage: Bacteria
Description: partial 16S ribosomal RNA
Rfam family: Bacterial small subunit ribosomal RNA
Source: RNAcentral